Molecule: ribosomal RNA, 253 nt
Filed under: uncultured bacterium
Lineage: Bacteria
Description: partial 16S ribosomal RNA
Rfam family: Bacterial small subunit ribosomal RNA
Source: RNAcentral
UACGUAGGGUCCGAGCGUUGUCCGGAAUUAUUGGGCGUAAAGGGCUCGUAGGCGGUUCGUCACGUCGGGAGUGAAAACUCGGAGCUUAACUCCGAGCCUGCUUCCGAUACGGGCAGACUAGAGGUAGGCAGGGGAGAGCGGAACUCCUGGUGUAGCGGUGGAAUGCGCAGAUAUCAGGAAGAACACCCGUGGCGAAGGCGGCUCUCUGGGACGGUACUGACGCUGAGACGCGAAAGCGUGGGGAGCAAACAGG